GGGGUUGUAGCUUAGUGGAAGAGCACUUGCCUAGCAUGUGUGAGGCUCUGGGUUUGAUUCCCAGCACCACUU
Molecule: transfer RNA, 72 nt
Filed under: Ictidomys tridecemlineatus (thirteen-lined ground squirrel)
Lineage: Eukaryota; Metazoa; Chordata; Mammalia; Rodentia; Sciuridae
Description: Spermophilus tridecemlineatus (thirteen-lined ground squirrel) tRNA
Rfam family: tRNA
About the family: Transfer RNA (tRNA) molecules are approximately 80 nucleotides in length. Their secondary structure includes four short double-helical elements and three loops (D, anti-codon, and T loops).
Source: Rfam by way of RNAcentral